GUGCUUGCUUCGGCAGCACAUAGACUAAAAUUGGAAUGAUACGGAGAUUAACUUGGCCCCUUCACAAAGGAUGGCGUGCAAAUUUGUGAAGCGUUCCAUAUUAAU
Small nuclear RNA from Hyaena hyaena (striped hyena), 105 nucleotides. The record is from RefSeq and is a predicted model, not a curated record. NCBI's taxonomy places the organism in Eukaryota, Metazoa, Chordata, Mammalia, Carnivora, Hyaenidae.